UGGGGAAUUUUGGACAAUGGGCGAAAGCCUGAUCCAGCAAUGCCGCGUGUGUGAAGAAGGCCUUCGGGUUGUAAAGCACUUUUGUCCGGAAAGAAAUCCUUGGCUCUAAUACAGUCGGGGGAUGACGGUACCGGAAGAAUAAGCACCGGCUAACUACGUGCCAGCAGCCGCGGUAAUACGUAGGGUGCAAGCGUUAAUCGGAAUUACUGGGCGUAAAGCGUGCGCAGGCGGUUUGCUAAGACCGAUGUGAAAUCCCCGGGCUCAACCUGGGAACUGCAUUGGUGACUGGCAGGCUAGAGUAUGGCAGAGGGGGGUAGAAUUCCACGUGUAGCAGUGAAAUGCGUAGAGAUGUGGAGGAAUACCGAUGGCGAAGGCAGCCCCCUGGGCCAAUACUGACGCUCAUGCACGAAAGCGUGGGGAGCAAACAGGAUUAGAUACCCUGGUAGUCCACGCCCUAAACGAUGUCAACUAGUUGUUGGGGGAUUCAUUUCCUUAGUAACGUAGCUAACGCGUGAAGUUGACCGCCUGGGGAGUACGGUCGCAAGAUUAAAACUUAAAGGAAUUGACGGGG
This 571-nucleotide ribosomal RNA is filed under the name uncultured bacterium. RNAcentral's name for it is "partial 16S ribosomal RNA". It matches the Rfam family "Bacterial small subunit ribosomal RNA", at positions 355 to 918 of the family's 1533-position model. The record is from RNAcentral.